UACGUAGGGGGCUAGCGUUGUCCGGAAUCAUUGGGCGUAAAGCGCGUGUAGGCGGCCCGGUAAGUCCGCUGUGAAAGUCGGGGGCUCAACCCUGGAAGGCCGGUGGAAACUGUCGGGCUAGAGUCCGGAAGAGGCGAGUGGAAUUCCCGGUGUAGCGGUGAAAUGCGCAGAUAUCGGGAGAAACACCAAUGGCGAAGGCAGCUCGCUGGGACGGUACUGACGCUGAGACGCGAAAGCGUGGGGAGCAAACAGG
This 253-nucleotide ribosomal RNA is filed under the name uncultured bacterium. RNAcentral describes it as "partial 16S ribosomal RNA". It matches the Rfam family "Bacterial small subunit ribosomal RNA", at positions 524 to 776 of the family's 1533-position model. The record is from RNAcentral.